GUGCUGGUGGCUUAGUGGUUAGCAUGUUUGCCUUGCAUCUCUGGAGUUGGGGGUUCGAAUCCCACUUCCGCACU
This is a non-coding RNA of Pangasianodon gigas (Mekong giant catfish), 74 nucleotides long. Lineage: Eukaryota; Metazoa; Chordata; Actinopteri; Siluriformes; Pangasiidae. The record is from the annotation of a GenBank genome assembly.